RNAcentral lists this ribosomal RNA (962 nucleotides) under uncultured eukaryote. RNAcentral describes it as "SSU rRNA". It matches the Rfam family "Eukaryotic small subunit ribosomal RNA", at positions 123 to 1113 of the family's 1831-position model. The record is from RNAcentral.
GAUAGUACCUUACUACUUGGAUACCCGUAGUAAUUCUAGAGCUAAUACAUGCAUCAACGCCCAAUCGGGCCGCGUUUAUUAGAUAGAAACCCAUAUUUUUGGUGAAUCAUAAUAACUGUGCGAAUCGCAUGGGUUUACCCCGGCGAUGAAUCAAUCAAGUUUCUGCCCUAUCAGCUUUCGAUGGUAGGGUAUUGGCCUACCAUGGCGUUAACGGGUAACGGAGAAUUAGGGUUCGAUUCCGGAGAGGGAGCCUGAGAAACGGCUACCACAUCCAAGGAAGGCAGCAGGCGCGUAAAUUACCCAAUCCUGACACAGGGAGGUAGUGACAAUAAAUAACAAUGCCGGGCUUUUUCAAGUCUGGCAAUUGGAAUGAGAACAAUUUAAAUCCCUUAACGAGGAUCAAUUGGAGGGCAAGUCUGGUGCCAGCAGCCGCGGUAAUUCCAGCUCCAAUAGCGUAUAUUAAUGUUGUUGCAGUUAAAAAGCUCGUAGUUGGAUUUCUGGUGGGAGCGGCCGGUCCGCCGUAAGGUGUGUACUUGGUUGUCUCCCGUCAUCCUUGUGGGAACUGCUCUGGCAUUAAGUUGUCGGGGUUAGGGAACACAUCGUUUACUGUGAAAAAAUUAGAGUGUUUAAAGCAGGCUUAUGCCGUUGAAUACAUUAGCAUGGAAUAAUAAGAUAGGACUUUGGCGUCUAUUUUGUUGGUUUGCACACCAAGGUAAUGAUUAAUAGGGAUAGUUGGGGGUAUUCGUAUUUAAUUGUCAGAGGUGAAAUUCUUGGAUUUAUGAAAGACGAACUUCUGCGAAAGCAUUUACCAAAGAUGUUUUCAUUAAUCAAGAACGAAAGUUAGGGGAUCGAAGAUGAUUAGAUACCAUCGUAGUCUUAACCAUAAACUAUGCCGACUAGGGAUUGGCGGUCGUUCAUUUAUGACUCCGUCAGCACCUUAUGAGAAUCAAAGUCUUUGGGUU